RNAcentral lists this ribosomal RNA (497 nucleotides) under uncultured bacterium. Its description in RNAcentral is "partial 16S ribosomal RNA". It matches the Rfam family "Bacterial small subunit ribosomal RNA", at positions 28 to 507 of the family's 1533-position model. The record is from RNAcentral.
GAUGAACGCUGGCGGCGUGCCUAAUACAUGCAAGUCGAGCGAACAGAUAAGGAGCUUGCUCCUUUGACGUUAGCGGCGGACGGGUGAGUAACACGUGGGCAACCUACCUAUAAGACUGGAAUAACUCCGGGAAACCGGGGCUAAUGCCGGAUAACAUUUAGAACCGCAUGGUUCUAAAGUGAAAGAUGGUUUUACUAUCACUUAUAGAUGGACCCGCGCCGUAUUAGCUAGUUGGUAAGGUAACGGCUUACCAAGGCAACGAUACGUAGCCGACCUGAGAGGGUGAUCGGCCACACUGGAACUGAGACACGGACCAGACUCCUACGGGAGGCAGCAGUAGGGAAUCUUCCGCAAUGGGCGAAAGCCUGACGGAGCAACGCCGCGUGAGUGAUGAAGGUCUUCGGAUCGUAAAACUCUGUUAUUAGGGAAGAACAAAUGUGUAAGUAACUGUGCACGUCUUGACGGUACCUAAUCAGAAAGCCACGGCUAACUACGUG